AUGAAGCGCAAACAAGAGCGUAACCGCAAGAGCUUGGUUGUAGCGCUCAACACAUAUGCCAAGCGAAACAAUAUGCAGAUUACUGACUUGGAAUUUGUGGAAGAGAAAGAAAGGAAUCUAGUUGGUGGAGUUGCAGCAGGAUAUGUGCAUUCCAACUUUGUUGCAAAAGGUGUGGAUGGCAGGCCCACUUUGUUCUUUGCUGAGAUGCUCCAUGGUUGCUUCUUGCAAGAGCAUGUUAUUCUCUGCACUCCUUUGGAAGAUACGGACUCUGGUUGUUGUUUUGGGUGCAAUCAGCAUGCAAGGAAGCUCAGGCAUCCCACAUGUGGUGGCUACUUGGGUGGACUCGAGGAUGUGCCGUUUCCUUACGUGGAGGAGGACAGUGAUGAUGAUUGCCUUCUUGAUUGA
This 405-nucleotide ribosomal RNA is filed under the name Triticum aestivum (bread wheat). Its description in RNAcentral is "partial small subunit ribosomal RNA". The record is from RNAcentral. Lineage: Eukaryota; Viridiplantae; Streptophyta; Magnoliopsida; Poales; Poaceae.